RNAcentral lists this long non-coding RNA (1673 nucleotides) under Citrus sinensis (sweet orange). RNAcentral describes it as "long non-coding RNA (CSIN_LNC004572)". Lineage: Eukaryota; Viridiplantae; Streptophyta; Magnoliopsida; Sapindales; Rutaceae. The record is from RNAcentral.
GCUCAUAACUCGUUUUCACUCUACUAUGGCAUCUCCACACAUCUUUUCUCCAUCUUCGUAAAAUAUACUUUUCUGGAAGUACUUCUACGUCAUUGCGGAUCAUGAUUGUAAUGGCAUGCCUACAAAGAAUACCUCUAAAUUGGAACCUUGAGCAGCUGCAACGUAUUUCACCAUUUUCUUUUUCAAAAUAUACUUCAAAAAAGGUUCUCUUUUUACCCUCUCCAACUUUGACAUCCUCUCUAACAAUAUUUUCACAACCCAUAGAAUUGACAUAUUCGCAAUACAUUUUCCGAAUCAUUUCUUGCUGAAAUUCUUGAAAUUUUGAAAUAGUGUACACAUCUCGGACUUGCCUCUCCAUUGCAUAAGAUGUUACACGUGGCAUUUGUUGGGAAAGACACCUGACAUCUUCUUCAACUUCCUUCUGAACUUUAUUCUUCAACGCACAACUGUAUUGCUCUACAAACUGCUUCAAAGUAGUCUUUAAGUUAACAUAACCAUCAAAAAAUGCAUUCAUACUUUCACUGCGUUGAGUAGAUUACAUUCCUGCCCAAAAAGUAUUGUUUAGAUAACAAGGUACCCAAUGAUGCCUCUCAUCAUAUAAGCCUCGUAACCAUUCGUUAUCCCCCAAAUCAUAUUCUAUAAUCAUGUGGUGCUAAGUUUCCUCAAAUUUUGCAGCACUCUGGGAAUCAUAAACAGCACAAUGCAAGACAUUACUUAUGUUGCGAUAUUCUUUAUAACCCCCUAGCUUCUCUGGAAUUUUCUUCAUUAUAUGCCAUAAACACCACCGAUGUCGAGUAUUGGGAAGCUUAAACAGAUUGGUUUCAACUUGCAUGACUAACUUCAACACGUGGAGAAAAAAUUUCUAAUAUGGUAAAAUUAGAGAUUGGAAGUGUUUUUGUCUGUGCUUACUGUAAGUGAACUGCUGUACCGUACAUCCGCCUUGGCCGUACAGCAGUAUUGUUUAGAUAACAAGGUACCCAAUGAUGCCUCUCGUCAUAUAAGCCUCGUAACCAUUCGUUAUCCCCCAAAUCAUAUUCUGUAAUCAUAUGGUGCCAAGUUUCCUCAAAUUUCGUAGCACUCUGGGAAUCAUAAACAGCACAAUGCAAGACAUUACUUAUGUUGCGAUAUUCUUUAUAACCCCCUAGCUUCUCUGGAACUUUCUUCAUUAUAUGCCAUAAACACCACCGAUGUCGAGUAUUGGGAAAGACAUUCUGAAUUGCAACUUUCAUUGCCCUGUCUUGAUCUGUAAUGAUUCCAUUGGGAGCUGAAUUAGACAUGCAGGAUAGCCAUGUUCGAAAUAACCACGUGAAUGUCUCAAUAUCUUCGUGUGAAAUCAAUCCACACCCAAACAAAAUAGAAUGCCCAUGAUGAUUAACUCCUACAAAUGGAGCGAACGGCAUAUCAUACUUAUUUGUAAGAUACGUGGUGUCAAAUGUAACAACGUCUCCAAACUCCUUGUACGCUUCCCUAUUCCUUGGUUAUGCCCAAAAAACAUUUUUUAAUCGUCCCUCAUCAUCCACUUGCACACUAAAGUAAAACCUAUUAUCUUCUGCUUGCACUUUCAUAAAAUAGUUUUGAAGAGCAGCAGCAUCUCCAUCUCCAAGCCGUAAUCUUCUUUCUUUCUGAACAUGAUUUCUACAAUCUCUUUCUAUGAAUGUCACAUUUUCAUGACC